Molecule: ribosomal RNA, 201 nt
Filed under: uncultured Staphylococcus sp.
Lineage: Bacteria; Bacillati; Bacillota; Bacilli; Caryophanales; Staphylococcaceae
Description: partial 16S ribosomal RNA
Rfam family: Bacterial small subunit ribosomal RNA
Source: RNAcentral
GUAAUAACCGGAUAACACAUGAAACCGCAUGGUUUCAUGAUGAAAGAACGGUUUUGCUGUCACUUAUAGAUGGACCCGCGGCGUAUUAGCUAGUUGGUAAGGUAACGGCUUACCAAGGCAACGAUACGUAGCCGACCUGAGAGGGUGAUCGGCCACACUGGAACUGAGACACGGUCCAGACUCCUACGGGAGGCAGCAGGC